Molecule: ribosomal RNA, 368 nt
Filed under: uncultured organism
Description: bacterial SSU rRNA
Rfam family: Bacterial small subunit ribosomal RNA
Source: RNAcentral
CGGAGGGUGCAAGCGUUAUCCGGAUUCACUGGGUUUAAAGGGUGCGUAGGUGGGUUAGUAAGUCAGUGGUGAAAUCCCCGAGCUUAACUUGGGAACUGCCAUUGAUACUAUUAAUCUUGAAUACCGUGGAGGUCAGCGGAAUAUGUCAUGUAGCGGUGAAAUGCUUAGAUAUGACAUAGAACACCAAUUGCGAAGGCAGCUGGCUACGCGAAUAUUGACACUGAUGCACGAAAGCGUGGGGAUCAAACAGGAUUAGAUACCCUGGUAGUCCACGCCCUAAACUAUGGAUACUCGACAUCAGCGAUACACUGUUGGUGUCUGAGCGAAAGCAUUAAGUAUCCCACCUGGGAAGUACGAUCGCAAGAUUG